RNAcentral lists this long non-coding RNA (4262 nucleotides) under Triticum aestivum (bread wheat). Its description in RNAcentral is "long non-coding RNA (TAES_LNC001875)". Lineage: Eukaryota; Viridiplantae; Streptophyta; Magnoliopsida; Poales; Poaceae. The record is from RNAcentral.
UCCAUCUUGAUAUACAUGUCAACAGCCCACUGUUGGAAAAGGCGCGCCCCGAACAAGAUGAUGUUAAAAAGCUUCUUCCUGACCUGCAGUUUGAAGCAGUAGUACUCCCUCGCACUAACAAAUUUCCUGGAUUUUGUUGCAUUCACCUCAUUGUCACCAAAAUCCUCAUCUGGGUUAUAUUCAUUGUCAUCUACAAGAUUCACAAAAUUUCAAAUUCAAUAUGUUGUUUGCAUGCAUAAUAGUUGACUAUAUAAGAAUUGAAGAUUAAGCAAUGAUGACCGAUACCCGCAGGUAAAUCCGUGGCAUGGUCUUCAUGUGGUUCAAAAUUCCCAACUUGUUCACUUUCUGUAAUGAAGUUUUCAUGUGAUAGAAAAAUGAGAACAUAAGUCUUCACUCGUAAAUAGAAAGUAUAUAAAUUAAUAGUGCACAUCAUACCUGUAGAUAAAUCAGAGGUUUGGUUUACUCGUGGUGCAGUAUUAUGCGCUGAAUAUUGGGUCGUGUCAUCUACAAGAUUCACAACAUUUCAAAUUCAAUAUGAUGUUUGCACCCAUAAUACUUGACCACAUAAGAAUUGAAGAAUAAGCAAUGAUGUCCGAUACCUGCAGGUAAAUCCGUGGCAUGGUCUUCAUGUGGUUCAAAAUUUCCAACUUGUUCACUUUCUGUAAUUAAGUUUUCAUAUAAUAGAAAAAUGAGAACAUAAGUGUUCAUUCAUAAUAGCAAGUAUAUAAAUGAAUAAUGAACCUCAUACCUGCAUAUAAAUCAGAGGUUUGGUUUACUUGGGGUGCAGGGUUACCCGAUGAACAUUGUGUGGUGUCAUCGAGGGGGCCAACAUAUGGCAUCCUACGAUUCCAACCAGUCUCCCCACGUGGGAAGAAUAGUGGAUAUGACAAUGGGUCGUAGCACCCAUAGUAUGCUCUAAUAUAUAGGGGCCGGUCUCCUUUUUUUCCAUGUACGACAACACUUCUGUCAAAGCAAUUCUUUGGGUCGCUCCCUUCAACCCAUAUCGCUGCCACCUGAGAAGUCGUUGGGGCAUUGUACCUUCGUUGAUCCAAGUUGAUAUCCGUGUUUAGUGAGAUCCUAUACUCAUCUAGAUUUGGAACAGACCCAAGGCUCUUUAAAACUUGUGCAUAAGGGUUACGCUCAAGUAUUCGCAGAAUCUUUCGUAUGAGGUCUAUAUUAAGAUCUGGAGACCUCAUAGCCCUGUGAACCAAGUCUUGAUCUGUAUCAUAAAUAUAAAGCUGCAAAUGCCGAGGUCCAUUAUCAGCCGGCACCAGACCAUCAAGAGCGUGGUAUAAGCCACCACAUGCACGAAAUGUAUAUACUCCAGUUCCUGCCGCUGUGCUUACUCGGCGAUCAAGAGUGACUCCUAGAGUUGUGAAUGAGAAGUGCGAGUUGAAAUACCGUAUAUGCUCUCUAAAAUAUUUAGCAUCCUCAUCAUCUUGACUUGUAAACAACCGUUUCAGCUCUUCUGGAAUGUCUGGAGUAAUAAUAUCGACUUUUCCUUUUCUGCAACAAAAUGCUGGGCCCUCAAAUGGAAACCGCAAUGCCCCACAGUGGCGACAGUCGGGAACCUUUCUUAGGACAUGGUGCUUUGUAGGUAGGUUUCGGUAAAUGAAUUCAUCGGUAUUUGAUACUGGUGCGGCUCGUGGGCGUCCAAGUUGGUACGAUUCAUAAGCAAGACCUAGCAUUGAAGAACAAUUUGUAUUAAAUAUUGAAUGAAGACCUAUGAGGCUCAUGGUAAAUUCGGAAAUAGACAAUGGACAUAUCUUCGGCCAUAAAUAUUCUAGCUUCCUCAUCAGGCUCAUGGUAUAUAGCUUCUCCAUUUUGCAAUGGCGCCAAACAGUCUAGUAGGCAAUAUAUUGGUCAAACAUAAAUGCCACAAAAUUGUCGACGAAGAACCUGAUAUGUGAACGACAAAAUAUAUAAUGUACCUUCAAAAUUGGGUUGUUGAACAAUGGGCUCAAAUAUUCCAUAUGGGUCUUCUAUAUGGUCGUUGCCCACUACGGAAAACCACAAGAUAAGUAGAGCAUACAAAAUCAGGUACUAUAGUAGUCUAGGGUCAUCAAACUUACUUUGUAGAUCUUGAGUGCUUUGAGUAUCAUCCGGAGACGGUUCCGCAGGGCGUCUCUUAUCAUUAGUUGGCGUCUUCAUUGGUUGACUGGAGCCAUUAAAAGGAUGUAUACCUGAAUAAACGAAAGAGAACCAGGAAUUGCGAUCAAAUUAACACUAUGGACACACUUCCACCAUAACUAAAUGGACGAACUAAACCGCACCUUGAAUUGAGAAAUCUGGGUUACGUAUUCUGCUAAUUUGGGGUGCCUGAACCCCUGAAAGUUGUGUGAGAGGCCCUGCAUUGUGUUCAAUUGACAGUAACUGUCAUUCAGAAGCUGAUUAUAGUUUAUUAUUGUUUAGAAGAGUACAAACCAAAGGCAUUAAAGCAUACCUUGUGCAAUAUCUCUUACGACGGUGGAGAUUGAUUGCAUGUUAUGACCAAGAGGCAUAGCAACAGCUCUAAUGCGUCCACCAAUUUGUUGUAUCUGAUAUGCAUCAUUCCUGUGCAACCAAUCGGACUCCUCAUCGUAUGUUAAAGUAUUCUCCUUGUCGUAGGGGGCAUGUUCAGGUGAUAGAUCUGAAUUUGGUAUAUUUGAUAAUACUGCAAGAAAAUUGUAGAUAACAUCAGUAAAACCUUUUUUGUUAUAUUCGAUAAGAUAACACCAUGCAAUCAAUAUGUUAUGGUAGCACAGAACCUGCAGACGAUAUUUGUUGUAGCUGGGUGACACCGGAUUGUCCUGUAGCUGGUGUGUGUAACACGGUGCUAUCGUUGGUGAGUAGGGUCGUAGUAGCCUUUCUCUGCUCACGUGAUAGGCGUUGUCGUUUUAAUAUCUCAUCCCUAUUUUGUGCAUACCGCUCCCUGUUCCUUUGCCUCCGUAUGUCUUUAGGGUCUACAUAGAUGAGAAAGCUAGUUAGUAUCAACAAAUAGGGUUGUAUGUAGUUGGUUGAUCGUCAUUACCAAUGGGUAUGGACAUCGGUGUUUGUGUUUCAUUUUCAUGGACACUGAUAUCAGCGGAAGCGUCAGCCAUUUUUUUGUUUCUGUAGGCCUGACGUUGUCUCUUUAAUAUUUCGUCUCUAUUUUGUGAAUACCGUUCCCUAUCCAGUCGCCUCUUCAGCUCCGUAGGGUCUACAUGUAUGAUUUAGAGUAUCAUAAGUUACGUGAAUAAUACAUAAGCAUGCAGUAUAUGGCCAUACUUACCAUGGGACAUGGCUAGGGGUGUGUGUGGCACAUUUUGCUCAUCAUUCGGCAGAGGUUUAUCAGUCUGCUUCUUUAAACGUGCCUCACGACGUCUUUUCAGAAUGUCCUCUCUGUUUCGUGCAUAGUAUUCUCUGUCCCUCUGCCUCUUAAUUUCUUUAGGGUCUGUUUAAAUAUACAAUGGAAAUUAGCACAUUCGUUAUAGAAGUGUUCAUGAACCCAGAAAAAAAGAAGCGCUCAGUUGGCUGAUAGUUACCUGAGGAAUGGAUGUUGCUUAUAUCCUGAAAUGGGGUGCGUGCCCCCGAGUGAUUUGGGGAAGUCAUAACAUCGACUUCGUAGACUGAAUACUCCAGUAAAAAAUCUGUCAAGAGGGUUGACUGGAAGCAUAUAUUAGUCAGAAUUAGAUUCAAGUUAUGUUGUCAUAAAUCUGUAGAUUUCAUUUUCUUAAAGCAAAAGGAAGUUAGAAGAUAAUUUGCAAGAACAAGAAGAAAUGUCUAAUAUUAAAAUCUUGCCUGAUAUUUUUAGAGGAUGGCACAGGUGAUGCAAGGAACCUACGACCUGUUUGCAGCGAAGAAGGUGAGGGGGAGCAGCCGCGCAUGUAAUGGCCAGUGGAGGGCGGCCAGGGAAGGCGGCGGCGGUGUUUUCGUGCGGCGAGGUCGCCGUCCAGGAAGGCGAAGGCGAUGAUGUUUCUGAGCGGCAAGGGGAUAUCCGUGGGGUGUGUUUCUUGUUUUUGGAUUUGAAAGGUCUAUUAUUAUUUGUGGUAAUGGGGGAUACGUGUUUGAAUUUGUUUGGAAGACCUACGUGAUUGUAGGGAUUGUUUUUGCUUUCGCAUGGAAGUUUUCCUCCGCGGUGGAGUAUGGUCAGUCAACAUAAAUUAGUAAGUGCACACCAGAAAACAUAUCAGGUGAAGGCUAGCCGUUGGAUUUAGAUAAGUGGGGAUAAUCCUGUGGUAGUAUUGGGUCCGUGUAUGUUUUGUGGGGUGCGUUUAGCAAAGAUAAUGUUUGCUCUUUUNNNN